RNAcentral lists this ribosomal RNA (548 nucleotides) under uncultured bacterium. Its description in RNAcentral is "bacterial SSU rRNA". It matches the Rfam family "Bacterial small subunit ribosomal RNA", at positions 355 to 896 of the family's 1533-position model. The record is from RNAcentral.
UGGGGAAUCUUGCACAAUGGGGGAAACCCUGAUGCAGCGACGCCGCGUGAGCGAUGAAGCCCUUCGGGUUGUAAACCGCUUUCGGCCGGAACGAAAUCGGCGGGAUGAAUAGUCUCGCUGGAUGACGGUACCGGAAGAAGAAGCACCGGCUAACUACGUGCCAGCAGCCGCGGUAAUACGUAGGGUGCGAGCGUUAAUCGGAAUUACUGGGCGUAAAGCGUGCGCAGGCGGCCGCGUAAGCCAGAGGUGAAAUCCCCGGGCUCAACCUGGGAAUGGCCUUUGGGACUGCGUGGCUCGAGUGCGGCAGAGGGGGGUGGAAUUCCUGGUGUAGCAGUGAAAUGCGUAGAUAUCAGGAGGAACACCGAUGGCGAAGGCAGCCCCCUGGGCCAGCACUGACGCUCAUGCACGAAAGCGUGGGGAGCAAACAGGAUUAGAUACCCUGGUAGUCCACGCCCUAAACGAUGACGACUAGUUGUCGGAGGGUAACUCCUUCGGUAACGCAGCUAACGCGUGAAGUAGACCGCCUGGGGAGUACGGUCGCAAGAUUA